AUUGAACGCUGGCGGCAGGCCUAACACAUGCAAGUCGAGCGGAUGAAGGGAGCUUGCUCCUGGAUUCAGCGGCGGACGGGUGAGUAAUGCCUAGGAAUCUGCCUGGUAGUGGGGGAUAACGUCCGGAAACGGGCGCUAAUACCGCAUACGUCCUGAGGGAGAAAGUGGGGGAUCUUCGGACCUCACGCUAUCAGAUGAGCCUAGGUCGGAUUAGCUAGUUGGUGGGGUAAAGGCCUACCAAGGCGACGAUCCGUAACUGGUCUGAGAGGAUGAUCAGUCACACUGGAACUGAGACACGGUCCAGACUCCUACGGGAGGCAGCAGUGGGGAAUAUUCGACGAUGGGCGAAAGCCUGAUCCAGCCAUGCCGCGUGUGUGAAGAAGGUCUUCGGAUUUUAAAGCACUUUAAGUUGGGAGGAAGGGUAGUAAGUUAAUACCUUGCUGUUUUGACGUUACCAACAGAAUAAGCACCGGCUAACUUCGUG
This 484-nucleotide ribosomal RNA is filed under the name uncultured bacterium. Its description in RNAcentral is "partial 16S ribosomal RNA". It matches the Rfam family "Bacterial small subunit ribosomal RNA", at positions 30 to 507 of the family's 1533-position model. The record is from RNAcentral.